Molecule: ribosomal RNA, 700 nt
Filed under: uncultured bacterium
Lineage: Bacteria
Description: bacterial SSU rRNA
Rfam family: Bacterial small subunit ribosomal RNA
Source: RNAcentral
GUAUGCAACCUACCUACAACAAGGGGAUAACCCGUUGAAAGACGGACUAAUACCCUAUAACACAGGGAUUCCGCAUGGAAAUAUUUGUUAAAGAUUUAUCGGUUGUAGAUGGGCAUGCGUUCCAUUAGGUAGUUGGUAAGGUAACGGCUUACCAAGCCUGCGAUGGAUAGGGGAACUGAGAGGUUUAUCCCCCACACUGGAACUGAGACACGGUCCAGACUCCUACGGGAGGCAGCAGUGAGGAAUAUUGGUCAAUGGAGGCAACUCUGAACCAGCCAAGUCGCGUGAAGGACGACGGCCCUACGGGUUGUAAACUUCUUUUGUACAGGAAUAAAACCAUCCACGUGUGGAUAUUUGCAUGUACUGUACGAAUAAGGAUCGGCUAACUCCGUGCCAGCAGCCGCGGUAAUACGGAGGAUUCGAGCGUCAUCCGGAUUUAUUGGGUUUAAAGGGUGCGCAGGCGGGAUGUUAAGUCGGCGGUGAAAUUUUGCGGCUCAACCGUAAAAGUGCCUUCGAAACUGGCAUUCUUGAGUAUAGAUGAAGUAGGCGGAAUUUGUGGUGUAGCGGUGAAAUGCAUAGAUAUCACGAGGAACUCCGAUUGCGCAGGCAGCUUACUAAACUAUAACUGACGCUCAUGCACGAAGGCGUGGGGAUCAAACAGGAUUAGAUACCCUGGUAGUCCACGCAGUAAACGAUGAUU